UACGUAGGGUGCGAGCGUUAAUCGGAAUUACUGGGCGUAAAGUGUGCGCAGGCGGCCGCGCAAGUCGAGUGUGAAAGCCCCGAGCUUAACUUGGGAAUUGCGCUCGAAACUACGUGACUGGAGUGUGGCAGAGGAAGGUGGAAUUCCAGGUGUAGCGGUGAAAUGCGCAGAUAUCAGGAGGAACACCGGUGGCGAAGGCGGCGUCCUGGACCAACACUGACACUGAUGAGCGAAAGCCAGGGGAGCAAACGGG
RNAcentral lists this ribosomal RNA (253 nucleotides) under uncultured bacterium. RNAcentral's name for it is "partial 16S ribosomal RNA". It matches the Rfam family "Bacterial small subunit ribosomal RNA", at positions 524 to 776 of the family's 1533-position model. The record is from RNAcentral.